UACGUAGGGUGCAAGCGUUGUUCGGAAUCAUUGGGCGUAAAGAGCGUGUAGGUGGCUUACCAAGUCGAUUGUGAAAGCCCUCGGCUCAACCGGGGAAGUGCAGUCGAAACUGGUAGGCUCGAGAACGGUAGAGGAAGGUGGAAUUCCUAGUGUAGAGGUGAAAUUCGUAGAUAUUAGGAGGAAUACCUGUGGCGAAGGCGGCCUUCUGGGCCGUUUCUGACACUGAGACGCGAAAGCGUGGGUAGCAAACAGG
Molecule: ribosomal RNA, 253 nt
Filed under: uncultured bacterium
Lineage: Bacteria
Description: partial 16S ribosomal RNA
Rfam family: Bacterial small subunit ribosomal RNA
Source: RNAcentral